GCUCAGAGUAUAAGCCAAUGGAGCUUGGAAGGCUUCCGCAGAUGGUGUCCAUCAUACGUGGUGUUCUUAAGACCUUGAGUGUGGCUCGUGAAGCGAAGCAUUGAGUUUGCCGACCAGCUGUCGUGCGGGGGGUUCAGCUUGGAAGGGUUGGGUUUCGGUCCAACAGUUUUCCUUCUGUCCCCUUUUGAAUGGACGUUCAGAGCUCUUGGUCUAAUGCGGUUAUGCCCACCACAGCACGUUGUGAGGUCACCCACAGGCUCAAACUGCCGAUCGCGCAUCCAGGACGAUGGCAACGAUGCGUUGUCGAUGAUGGCUCGAGAGAGACUUCACUCACACGCGUGUCUAGUCCUGGGUCGGGCGGCGACCGAGAUAAACCUGGUACGAUCCUCUUGCGACGAGCUGCUUUCUGGCCAGACCGACGCCCAGGCGCCUCCACUGUGCCGGAAGCGUCAACCCCAGGCGGUGUGAACCCAGCUGCAUUAUGCAAGGUCUCUCAGCCGGGCGUUGGUCUGAGUGGUGUUAAGUCCAGCACCAUCGGUCACGUCUCGAAACACGGGCCAAGGAGUAUAGCAUGUGUGCAAGUCUAAGGGUCUCACAAAACCCGAAGGCGAAGUGAAAGCAAGACUGUGGCGGGGGAGCUACGGCAAACCCGCCGGCCUAGUGGCGCGUGCGUCGCCUGGCUUUUAGCAGAGCUGAUCCUGUUUUCUCGGUUAAUUCUUGGUGCAGGCGCAAGCUCCGGGCUCACGUACAACACUGGUCACGCCUCGCG
RNAcentral lists this ribosomal RNA (769 nucleotides) under Niphargus stygius. RNAcentral's name for it is "partial large subunit ribosomal RNA". The record is from RNAcentral. Lineage: Eukaryota; Metazoa; Arthropoda; Malacostraca; Amphipoda; Niphargidae.